GUCUACGGCCAUGCCACCCUGAUCAAACCCGAUCCCAUCUCGUCUCGGAAGUUAAGCAGAGUCAGGCCUGGUUAGUACUUGGAUGGGAGACCCCCUAGGAAGACCAGGUGCUGUAAGGC
Molecule: ribosomal RNA, 119 nt
Filed under: Pteropus alecto (black flying fox)
Lineage: Eukaryota; Metazoa; Chordata; Mammalia; Chiroptera; Pteropodidae
Source: RNAcentral